RNAcentral lists this ribosomal RNA (471 nucleotides) under uncultured Enterobacteriaceae bacterium. Its description in RNAcentral is "bacterial SSU rRNA". It matches the Rfam family "Bacterial small subunit ribosomal RNA", at positions 30 to 487 of the family's 1533-position model. The record is from RNAcentral. Lineage: Bacteria; Pseudomonadati; Pseudomonadota; Gammaproteobacteria; Enterobacterales; Enterobacteriaceae.
AUUGAACGCUGGCGGCAGGCCUAACACAUGCAAGUCGAACGGUAACAGGAAGCAGCUUGCUGCUUUGCUGACGAGUGGCGGACGGGUGAGUAAUGUCUGGGAAACUGCCUGAUGGAGGGGGAUAACUACUGGAAACGGUAGCUAAUACCGCAUAACGUCGCAAGACCAAAGAGGGGGACCUUCGGGCCUCUUGCCAUCGGAUGUGCCCAGAUGGGAUUAGCUAGUAGGUGGGGUAACGGCUCACCUAGGCGACGAUCCCUAGCUGGUCUGAGAGGAUGACCAGCCACACUGGAACUGAGACACGGUCCAGACUCCUACGGGAGGCAGCAGUGGGGAUUUUUUGUAUUUUUGGGCGCAAGCCUGAUGCAACCAUGCCGCUUGUAUGAAGAAGGCCCUCCGCUUGUAAGGCCUUCUCAUCGGGGAGUAACGGAAUAAAGUUCUCCCUUUUGUUUUUGGCCUUUUCCCACCAAA